CCUACGGGGGGCAGCAGUGGGGAAUAUUGCACAAUGGGGGAAACCCUGAUGCAGCGACGCCGCGUGAGUGAAGAAGUAUUUCGGUAUGUAAAGCUCUAUCAGCAGGGAAGAAGCAAGACGGUACCUGACGAAGAAGCCCCGGCUAACGACGUGCCAGCAGCCGCGGUAAUACGGAGGGGGCAAGCGUUAUCCGGAUUUAGUGGGUUUAAAGGGUGCGCAGGCGGAGGGGCAAGGCAGCGGUCAAAUUGCGGGGCUCAACCCCGUACUGCCGUUGAAACUGCAUCCCUUGAGUGCGCGAGAAGUAUGCGGAAUGCGUGGUGUAGCGGUGAGAUGCAUAGCUAUCACGCAGAACUCCGAUUGCGAAGGCAGCCUACCGGCGCGCAACUGCCGCUCCUGCACGACAGCGUGGGUAUCGAACAGGAUUAGAUACCCUGGUAGUC
RNAcentral lists this ribosomal RNA (440 nucleotides) under uncultured bacterium. RNAcentral describes it as "partial 16S ribosomal RNA". It matches the Rfam family "Bacterial small subunit ribosomal RNA", at positions 338 to 795 of the family's 1533-position model. The record is from RNAcentral.